This 65-nucleotide transfer RNA is filed under the name Pemphigus populitransversus (poplar petiole gall aphid). RNAcentral describes it as "tRNA-Asn". Lineage: Eukaryota; Metazoa; Arthropoda; Insecta; Hemiptera; Aphididae. The record is from RNAcentral. RNAcentral also lists the same sequence under 2 other names.
UUAAUUGAAACCAAAAUAGAGGUUUAUUACUGUUAAUAAUAAUAUUGAAAUAAAUUCCAAUUAAA